GCCCGACUAGUUCUGUUGGUAAAGCAUGAGACUCAUAAUCUCAUUGGUAGUGGGUUCGUGUUCCAUGUUAGGUG
RNAcentral lists this transfer RNA (74 nucleotides) under Lepisosteus oculatus (spotted gar). It matches the Rfam family "tRNA". Rfam says of the family: Transfer RNA (tRNA) molecules are approximately 80 nucleotides in length. Lineage: Eukaryota; Metazoa; Chordata; Actinopteri; Semionotiformes; Lepisosteidae. The record is from Rfam by way of RNAcentral.